This is a long non-coding RNA of Pomacea canaliculata, 3082 nucleotides long. RefSeq lists it as uncharacterized. The transcript has 2 exons. The record is from RefSeq and is a predicted model, not a curated record. NCBI's taxonomy places the organism in Eukaryota, Metazoa, Mollusca, Gastropoda, Architaenioglossa, Ampullariidae.
UAUUAUAUUUGUUGCUGUUGUGUAGACUAUUUGCCAAAUAAUAUACAAAAGUCUUACAUCAGCUUUGGGAUAAAAGUAACCUGGGGCAUGAGUGACUGCACGUGUCAAACAUUUGUGACAAGAACAUGCGCAUGGAGAAUUUCCGAAAAGCAACUGCUGUUGGCAAAAGCGGGGCUGACCUCACUAUUAGCUAACACGCCACUAGACUUUACUUUGUCAGUCUGGUUUUUUAAGUUUGUAUACAUAAUUUUCUGGAAAAUCAUCAUGGCCCCCUUCACUAGAAUGUGGAGAGAGGGGUCAUCAAAACUAUCUACUUCAAAAAGUUGGCUUGAACAGCCAACCGUUCUUUUCUGAUGUCGAGAUAACAGUCUACAAACAUAACUAAACACUGAGAGAGGUCAAGAGUCUUUGACAAGAACUGCACAUGGCUAGGCAAGAGCUGGUGGGACAACUGGAACCGAAUGUUGAUUAGGGUUGGGGGACGUUAGUGACAUCAUCACGUGACUUAUGACAGUAAAUACACAGUGGCAUUCACAGACUGACCUACAGCAAUAAAUUUAUCGUUCUCUAUACAGGGUGUGUACUGCAAGAAACAGGGAAAGGGGUGCUCAUGGAGCUCACUUACAUUUUGGAUACAAAAUAAUGCAAUCUUGUAGGGACCCCGCCCGGUGGGUGGGCAGGUUGUUCAUGAAUAAUGGAUGACCUCAGCUACUCAGUGUUGUUGUCAAAGUAAAGCUGCAAAAAAAAAAAAAGUAUUUAAAGAUUUCGGAUUGAAUUCAUGCUGCAAAGUUCGUUAAAAUGGCGAGGUAAGUGUUUUUCUACUGAAAACCAAACUGUAAGCUUAUAAGUGAGGUGCAACAAAUAAAGGAAAGAGGGUGCGGGUCUUCCACUAAAAGGGCAAUGUUCGAAUAUAUAUAUAUCCCCUUUUAUGAGAAUUAGCAACAUACUUGUUACUUCACAUUGUAGUAAGCUCUACAAAUGUAUAUUUUUAAUGAGUGUAUAGUUUUCCUUUGCAUUGUUGUCUCACGUGAUGUCUAAACAUAGCACACAGUCACACAGAUUUCUCAGAAAUGUUCUAGGACAUUAUAGUCUCAACAAGAGGCCAGACGAGAUUAUAAAAGUUUAAAAGCCAACAGUGUUGAAUCAUUCCUUCUUGAUCGUGAUCACGUAGCCUUUAGAAACAUAAAAGCCUCGGUGCCUAUACAAACAUUUCUAUUUCAUGUCCUUCACUUGUUCUGGAGCUGGUCCAAAGUCCCUGCUUGAUAAUUUACAUGUCUGACCGUCGUGCAGAAAAGGAGACAAAGUCUAUUCAAACAGUCACCGACUGCAGAAAGAAAAAGGGAGGUCUCCCUACAGAGGCCCCUAUUAUUAUCUAGACUGUUUGAAGUAGUUUCCUGCCCUUCGCUGCUACUGGAAUUCUUCUUUUGGAAGGAACACUUGUGCAUAAAUUAGACGAGAAGUUGUUGGCUCAAACUACCUGAAACACCUGUCAUCAUGUUUUUGAGAAACAAAAUAGCAUCAGGUCUGCUUUGCUUGCUUCCAGAAACAAAUGAGAAGAGCAUUUCCUCCCAAAGUUUUCAUCACCCAGCCUACCAUUAUCGUUAUUAAAAACCUGUGCAGUCACAAAGUUGCUUCCCUUCCUGAGGUUGUUCCUAUUCUUGGAAGACGGUUCACCGGGACAAGUAACCAGUCCAUCACUUGGUUGUCUCCCGUGCAAGGGUCUCCCAGGCCCUGAGUGUCGACGCUACCCUCUUUCUUCUUGUCGGGUACCAGGAACUUCCAGAGACACAAGACCUGGUGCCAGCGAACCCGUGUGAAAUCGAGGCUCUGACGCUGCCGUGACGUCACGAAGCAGGCGGUUGCGUUUCCUUUGACUGAGGGAAGAAAGGUGAAGGUCGGCGUCUGGGACAAGAUGGUGGCGCUUCAAGUCGGACUCAUGAUCCUGGGUGCGGUUGUGAUCUUUAUAAUGAUCUUUGUCACGUGCAAACUGUUUUUCAUUGGCAACGACUUCAAAAUGCGUCUACGUCUACGUGGUUUGAUUUUUUGAAUGGCUCGCUGAUGAUGGAAAUGUAAUGUCAAUAUAAAUGAGAAGGUUUAGUGAUGUUUAAUAGCAAAGCUAGAAAUAGCUUAGUGCUCAUGAGUUUGUGCACCGAUGUGUCUUUGCACGUGUGAUGCCCUGAGAACUAUCGUGCAAAUAAAGAAAGAUAAGAAAAUGUAGCCGGGCUCGCUCACACACUGUACCACAGUCAUUUAUCUUCCCUUGUGCUCACACAUUCAUUCUGCCAAUGUGAUUGUCAGGUACACACGCAUGUACACGCACGCACACACACAUGCAUACACAUACAUGAACAGACACACGCGCAUACACAUACAUGCACACACACACACUACUCUUUCUCCCCAUCAAAAUACUGCUUGAAUCCUCCGCCAUUUUGAAACUCACUAUUUUACUUCUCGAACCUUCUGGAAUCUCAUUUUUUAUUCUGCGUAUUUGCUGUCUUUAUAUACUUAAUUCUGAAGAAUGUGUUCAAUCUACCGAAAAUUGUUCAAAUGUACUGACUGUGCAAUGUUUGUAUUAUGGGGUUAGUUGGAAAAAAUUUACUUGUGAGAAGUCCGCAGUUUUCUGAAGUAUGAAGAUUACAGGUCAUCACAAUUGUGUGAUUUAGUGAUUUUAAUAAUGUGUUUAGGAUUCCGGUGUUAUCACAUCUUCUGGUGAAGAAAAUCUUUUUUAAUUAACUCAGAGAUAUGCUGUGAAAAUUAUUUUCUGCCGUUUACAUGUAUAUGUGUGUAUGUGUGCAAAGUACACAGCCGAAGCAAAUAAUAUAUCAUCAAAAAACUCCUUAGUAAAGAAUGAAUAAGUAGAGUAGAGAUAAAUUAAUGUUUUGUGCUACAGUGGUCAGUUCUAUAUAGAUGGCAAUAUUUGAAACGAAACAGAGCUGAUACAUACAAGAUAGGUAGUGAGUGUAUGGGUGUGAAUGUGUAAAGUUUCAGUGUGUUGUAAGUUGCUUUUUAUAUUACAGGUAUGCAUAUAUCCACCAUGUCAAAAUGACUAUGAGCCAUUGAUAUUAAAGUGUGUCAUGUA